RNAcentral lists this long non-coding RNA (283 nucleotides) under Lathyrus oleraceus (garden pea). RNAcentral's name for it is "Pisum sativum (pea) long non-coding RNA (PSAT_LNC013228)". Lineage: Eukaryota; Viridiplantae; Streptophyta; Magnoliopsida; Fabales; Fabaceae. The record is from RNAcentral.
UUUGAAAAGGUGAAGGGUUAACUUCAAGAAGGUAAAGAAGAGGUGUGUGAAGGUGAUGGACAAGAAUGGCAUAAUGAAGGGGUUACUUUUGGACCCAUUUCUCAGCAUUUAAUUACUGAAUUUUAAGUUUUACAUGUGCAUUUCCAAACUAAUUUUGAAUAAAAUGGAAGUAGGUCACUUACAAAGUGUUGAGAUGUGUGUAUUGUAGAUGAGUUCGGAAAUUUAUUUCUAAAAUUAAAGAUAUUUUUUUAUUUCUUUACAGUGGUGAAAUAGCACCUCAUAG